Long non-coding RNA from Panthera uncia (snow leopard), 1573 nucleotides. RefSeq lists it as uncharacterized. The transcript is spliced from 3 exons. The record is from RefSeq and is a predicted model, not a curated record. Lineage: Eukaryota; Metazoa; Chordata; Mammalia; Carnivora; Felidae.
GCCGCCGGCGUCUCGGGGGCUCCAGGCUGCGGGGUGGACGCAGCGCCGAGCGAUCCGCAGCGGAGCCGUGCGAGGCCGCCGGAGCCCCGGCCCCGAGCCCCGAGCCCCGAGCCCCGAGCCAGCGCCACCGUCGCCGCGCGCCAGCCGGCCCUGGACACGCCGCCGCCGCCGCCAGGAAGGCAGCCGGCGCCGAACAAGUUGCAAGCGCGCUUCUCCGCCCGGGGAAAGUUUCCCCCGCGGCCGCCGGCGGGAGUUGGCGUGGGGUCCCGCUGCGGCUGCUGGAAGUUCAUCCUGAAGCCAUCAGAGAGAGACCUCAAGAGAAUCCCGACCCUCCUGGAAGGAACAGACACCAAUUGGAAGAGGUGGGCAUCUCCUGGACAGCCCGAGCUUGCAGUGGCCGGGGCUUCUGACACCGUCAUCAGAGCAACUUGAAACCCUUGACUUUGGCGUCUAGACACGGGCCCAAUACUUUUCCAGGCCUCCCAACGCCUGCCACCCAGGUAAGGGAGUUCAGGCUUGCUCAGCACCGGGUUCUAUGCUGCACCUGUUGUCGUCACUAAUAGAAACCAUGAGCAGGGGCACCCGGUCAUUCUUUAUCACAGUGUCCUCUUUUAUACCCUUCCAGAGCAGGAGAGCCCAGUGGCUCAGGCUCUAAGGUCCAGCAGACCUGGGUUCGAAUUCUCACACCACCAAUUACUGGCUGCGUGGACCUUGGGCAGGUGUCUCGUCAACCUUUCUGUGUCUCAGUUUCCCCAUCGGUCAAACCAGGAAGGAAGAGCACCCACAUUCUGGGUUUGUGAAGAUGAAAUAUAGGAAAAGGGCUUAGAACAGGAUGGGCACAGAGUAAGCUCCGAAUUCAAGAGACGGUAACUGUUCCUAAGGGUACUCCUGUGCUCAUGACGAUCCCUAAUGAGUUCGUUAUCGUCUGUCUCCUGCCAGAAGGCGGAGUCCAUGAGGGCAGGGGUUUGUCUGCCUCAUUCUUAAUUGAAUCCCCAGAUCCCAGCACUGUAAACUGCCCCCCACUUUUUUUCAAGUUUAUUUAUUUUUAAGAGAGAAAUAGAGAGGCAGAGGCAGAGAGAGAAUCCCAGGCAGGCUCCACACUGUCCAUGUAGAGCCCAACGCGGGGCUCAAACUCAUGAACCCUGAGAUCAUGACCUGAGCCAAAAUCAAGAGUCAGACGCUUAACCGACUGAGCCACCCAGGCAUCCCUGGCCUUCAUUUGUUGAAUGGAUGAACGUAUGAAGGUGUUUUGCCUGUUUUAUACAGAACCCGCAGGACAAGUCCUUGAAGGUCCUUGCAUUAGUCUGGAUAUGAGUUUGGUUGUGUGUGACAAAACCCCUAAUGAUAGUUCCUUCAAUGAGAAAGAGGUUGAUUUUCCUCUAAGUAAAAUUGUUUUUUUUUUUUUUUCAUUUUUUUAAAUGCUUAUUUAUUUUUGAGAGAGAGAGGGACAGAGCAUGAGCAGGGGAUGGGUGGAGAGAGAGGGAGACACAGAAACCGAAGCAGGCUCCAGGCUCUGAGCUGUCAGCACAGAGCCCGAAGCAGUCUCGAACUCAUGAACCGUGAGAUCAUGAUC